ACGGCUCAGUAACACGUCGGUAACCUACCCUCGGGAGGGGGAUAACCCCGGGAAACUGGGGCUAAUUCCCCAUAGGCCUGAGGUACUGGAAGGUCCUCAGGCCGAAAGGGACUUAUGUCCGCCCGAGGAUGGGCCGGCGGCCGAUUAGGUAGUUGGUGGGGUAAUGGCCCACCAAGCCGAAGAUCGGUACGGGCUGUGAGAGCAGGAGCCCGGAGAUGGACACUGAGACACGGGUCCAGGCCCUACGGGGCGCAGCAGGCGCGAAACCUCCGCAAUGCGGGAAACCGCGACGGGGGGACCCCGAGUGCCGUGGCAACGCCACGGCUUUUCCGGAGUGUAAAAAGCUCCGGGAAUAAGGGCUGGGCAAGGCCGGUGGCAGCCGCCGCGGUAAUACCGGCGGCCCGAGUGGUGGCCGCUAUUAUUGGGCCUAAAGCGUCCGUAGCCGGGCCCGUAAGUCCCUGGCGAAAUCCCACGGCUCAACCGUGGGGCUUGCUGGGGAUACUGCGGGUCUUGGGACCGGGGGAGGCGGGGGGUACCCCUGGGGUAGGGGUGAAAUCCUAUAAUCCCAGGGGGACCGCCAGUGGCGAAGGCGCCCCGCUGGAACGGGUCCGACGGUGAGGGACGAAGGCCAGGGGAGCAAACCGGAUUAGAUACCCGGGUAGUCCUGGCUGUAAAGGAUGCGGGCUAGGUGUCGGGUGAGCCUCGAGCUCGCCCGGUGCCGUAGGGAAGCCGUUAAGCCCGCCGCCUGGGGAGUACGGCCGCAAGGCUGAAGCUUAAAGGAAUUGGCGGGGGAG
Molecule: ribosomal RNA, 794 nt
Filed under: uncultured Thermococcus sp.
Lineage: Archaea; Methanobacteriati; Methanobacteriota; Thermococci; Thermococcales; Thermococcaceae
Description: bacterial SSU rRNA
Rfam family: Archaeal small subunit ribosomal RNA
Source: RNAcentral